UCAAACUUGGUCAUUUAGAGGAAGUAAAAGUCGUAACAAGGUCUCCGUUGGUGAACCAGCGGAGGGAUCAUUACCGAGUUUACAACUCCCAAACCCAAUGUGAACGUUACCAAACUGUUGCCUCGGCGGGAUUUCUGCCCCGGGCACGUCGCAGCCCCGGACCAAGGCGCCUGCCGGAGGACCAAUUUACAAACUCUUUGUAUGUCCCUCUGCGGAUUUUUAUUAUACAUUCUGAGCUUUCUCGGCGCUCCUAGCGAGCGUUUCGAAAAUGAAUCAAAACUUUCAACAACGGAUCUCUUGGUUCUGGCAUCGAUGAAGAACGCAGC
RNAcentral lists this unclassified non-coding RNA (326 nucleotides) under uncultured fungus. RNAcentral's name for it is "partial contains small subunit ribosomal RNA, internal transcribed spacer 1, and 5.8S ribosomal RNA". The stretch from base 1 to 73 matches the Rfam family "Eukaryotic small subunit ribosomal RNA", at positions 1759 to 1831 of the family's 1831-position model. Lineage: Eukaryota; Fungi. The record is from RNAcentral.